RNAcentral lists this ribosomal RNA (458 nucleotides) under uncultured Planctomycetota bacterium. RNAcentral describes it as "bacterial SSU rRNA". It matches the Rfam family "Bacterial small subunit ribosomal RNA", at positions 326 to 795 of the family's 1533-position model. The record is from RNAcentral. Lineage: Bacteria; Pseudomonadati; Planctomycetota.
UCUAGAAAGAUCCUACGGGGGGCUGCAGUCGAGGAUCUUCGGCAAUGGGCGCAAGCCUGACCGAGCGACGCCGCGUGUGCGAUGAAGGCCUUCGGGUUGUAAAGCACUGUCGAGGGGGAGGAAGCCGCAAGGUUGACCUAUCCCUGGAGGAAGCACGGGCUAAGUUCGUGCCAGCAGCCGCGGUAAGACGAACCGUGCGAACGUUGUUCGGAAUCACUGGGCUUAAAGGGCGCGUAGGCGGGCAUUCAAGUCCGGGGUGAAAGCCCCCAGCUCAACUGGGGAAGUGCCUUGGAAACUGGAUGUCUUGAGGGAGGUAGGGGCAUGUGGAACUUCGGGUGGAGCGGUGAAAUGCGUUGAUAUCCGAAGGAACGCCGGUGGCGAAAGCGACGUGCUGGAUCUCUUCUGACGCUGAGGCGCGAAAGCUAGGGAAGCAAACGGGAUUAGAUACCCUUGUAGUC